This 161-nucleotide ribosomal RNA is filed under the name Rheum tanguticum. RNAcentral's name for it is "5.8S ribosomal RNA". It matches the Rfam family "5.8S ribosomal RNA". Rfam says of the family: 5.8S ribosomal RNA (5.8S rRNA) is a component of the large subunit of the eukaryotic ribosome. The record is from RNAcentral. Lineage: Eukaryota; Viridiplantae; Streptophyta; Magnoliopsida; Caryophyllales; Polygonaceae.
AGAACGACUCUCGGCAAUGGAUAUCUUGGCUCUCGCAUCGAUGAAGAACGUAGCGAAAUGCGAUACUUGGUGUGAAUUGCAGAAUCCCAUGAACCAUCGAGUCUUUGAACGCAAGUUGUGCCCGAAGCCUUCUGGCCCAGGGCACGUCUGUCUGGGCGUCA